CUUUAGAAAAUUUUUGUACUUGGUUAAUAUAAUAUUUAAAGAAUAAUAUUAUUAACAUUAAAAAUAAAAUUAAAGUUUUUAUUUUAAGAUUGUAUUUUGUCAAUAUGUUAACUAAAAAUAUGUUGAAACCACAAAAUAAUAUUAGUUCCCAGCCUCUCAAUGCCACCAGUGGUAUACAAUAUAUAUUGCACAUAGGAUAAAACGCACUUUGGCUAUCUUUUUGAUUUAUAAAUUAGGUUUGUUAUGUCAUUAGAAAUUUUAAGUAAUGUGGUUUGAUUUUUUCAGCUGAGUAUUCUGUAAUGUAUUUAUUUGUCAGGUACAAAUUCAAUUGGAAAGAAAUUAAUUACAGUUAUUUUGCUGCUUUCAAAAUGACGAUGAUUUUCUUUGGAACCCUUUUUUCGGUCUCCGUUUUAAGCCACCGAUUUAAGAUAAAUGACGCAAUUAUUGGUGUAAUAGCUUGUUUAUUUGAUAUUAUUGUAGCAAUGAGUUAUUGUUUUGCUAAUGAACCUUGGCAAAUGUAUAUAAUUCCAAUUAUCGAUAUGUUUCAUGGUACAGCUCUUAAUAUUACUACAUCACUUACUUCAAAAAUGGUUAAAAGAGAAGAGUUUGGUAUGAAGUAA
Long non-coding RNA from Daktulosphaira vitifoliae (grape phylloxera), 620 nucleotides. RefSeq lists it as uncharacterized. Lineage: Eukaryota; Metazoa; Arthropoda; Insecta; Hemiptera; Phylloxeridae. The transcript is spliced from 3 exons. The record is from RefSeq and is a predicted model, not a curated record.